Molecule: long non-coding RNA, 319 nt
Organism: Mustela erminea (ermine)
Lineage: Eukaryota; Metazoa; Chordata; Mammalia; Carnivora; Mustelidae
Exons: 3
Source: RefSeq, a predicted model, not a curated record
UAUUCAGCAAUAGAUUAAAAAUAUCAUUCACCAUGAUCAAGUGGGAUUUAUUCCAGGGAUACAAGGAUAGUGCAAUAUUCACAAAGCAAUACAUAAUACACCAUGUUAUCAAAAUGAAGAAUAAAAAUCAUAGGAGCACCUCAAUAAAUGCAGAAAAAGUAUUUGACAAUAUUCAAUAUCCACUUAUAAUAAAAACUCUCAAUGAAGUGGGCUUAGAGUGUACAUGCCUUAACAUAACAUAGUCCAUGUAUGAAUAACCCAUAGCCAACAUCAUCCUCAAUGGGAAAAACUGAAAGCUUUUCCGCUAAGGUCAGGAACA